GACGAACGCUGGCGGCGUGCCUAAUACAUGCAAGUUGAGCGGAAGUUGGAGAGCUUGCUCUUCAACUUUAGCGGCGGACGGGUGAGUAACACGUGGGCAACCUGCCCUGCAGAUCGGGAUAACUCCGGGAAACCGGUGCUAAUACCGAAUAGUUUUCGCCACCUCCUGGUGGCGUACGGAAAGACGGUUUCGGCUGUCACUGCAGGAUGGGCCCGCGGCGCAUUAGCUAGUUGGUGGGGUAACGGCCCACCAAGGCAACGAUGCGUAGCCGACCGGAGAGGGUGAUCGGCCACACUGGGACUGAGACACGGCCCAGACUCCUACGGGAGGCAGCAGUAGGGAAUCUUCCGCAAUGGACGAAAGUCUGACGGAGCAACGCCGCGAGAGUGACGAAGGUUUUCGGAUCGUAAAACUCUGUUGUGAGGGAAGAACAAGUACCAAUUAACUACUGGUACCUUGACGGUACCUCACCAGAAAGCCACGGCUAACUACGUGCCAGCCGCCGCCGUAA
This 511-nucleotide ribosomal RNA is filed under the name uncultured bacterium. RNAcentral describes it as "partial 16S ribosomal RNA". It matches the Rfam family "Bacterial small subunit ribosomal RNA", at positions 28 to 523 of the family's 1533-position model. The record is from RNAcentral.